GCACCACUUUUGAAUUUGAGUCGUAAAGAUUCGAAAAUAAAAGUGGUGCUGGGGUAAAAAACUUGGCUAUAUGCUGGAAAGUCCGGCGUAUCCAAAACUACUUAGGAGGUUAUUAUGGAAAGAAUUAUUCUUGAGCAAAUAACCAUUAUUCGAGAAGAAAAUGGCUUUGUAAAAAUCGAGAAAUCAACGCCAUUUGGGAAGACGCAUGUCAUUGAAAUGGAAGUACGCUUCCCAGUUCAUGAACUCGAGAAAUUGUCAGUGAAUGAUUUUCUGGAAAAAGUAUCAGAAAAACUUAAGUAAAAAUGUUUUGGUGCGGACAAUCAGCAGGGAAGUCGCCUUAGGCGACCCCUCAACGACUAUACGCCGAGAGGCAGAAAGGAGGAAAAGGAGGCUUGGAAGCCUAGCUUCCGACCUCCAAAAUCUUAAUUCUGUUUAUGAUAUAGUCUGAACUCCAUGGCGACAUGGAG
RNAcentral lists this non-coding RNA (467 nucleotides) under Candidatus Giovannonibacteria bacterium GW2011_GWB1_43_13. Its description in RNAcentral is "self-splicing intron". It matches the Rfam family "Group I catalytic intron". Rfam says of the family: Group I catalytic introns are large self-splicing ribozymes. They catalyse their own excision from mRNA, tRNA and rRNA precursors in a wide range of organisms. The core secondary structure consists of 9 paired regions (P1-P9). Lineage: Bacteria; Candidatus Giovannoniibacteriota. The record is from RNAcentral.